RNAcentral lists this ribosomal RNA (146 nucleotides) under Vibrio cholerae. RNAcentral's name for it is "partial 16S ribosomal RNA". It matches the Rfam family "Bacterial small subunit ribosomal RNA", at positions 1 to 138 of the family's 1533-position model. Lineage: Bacteria; Pseudomonadati; Pseudomonadota; Gammaproteobacteria; Vibrionales; Vibrionaceae. The record is from RNAcentral. RNAcentral also lists the same sequence under 1 other name.
UUUAAUUGAAGAGUUUGAUCAUGGCUCAGAUUGAACGCUGGCGGCAGGCCUAACACAUGCAAGUCGAGCGGCAGCACAGAGGAACUUGUUCCUUGGGUGGCGAGCGGCGGACGGGUGAGUAAUGCCUGGGAAAUUGCCCGGUAGAG